Molecule: non-coding RNA, 318 nt
Organism: Paramisgurnus dabryanus
Lineage: Eukaryota; Metazoa; Chordata; Actinopteri; Cypriniformes; Cobitidae
Source: RefSeq, a predicted model, not a curated record
UGCAAACCAACAACGUUGUCAGAGUAAAGUUCAAAGACAGCAAGAAAUAUAUUUUCUCUUCACAACCAUUUCACACAUUUUUUGAAUGUGUUGCCAAGAAGUUUAAUCUUUCUACAAUGAAUGUCUUUGCUGACUUAAAGACAGAGGUUGAUGAGGAAUAAUAUCUGCUGACAUGACCAGACUUUGGUGUCCUAGAAAUCUUCAUCCCAGAAAGCACAACAAGCCUUGAUGAUUAUUUAUCUAAUACUGAGGGCACGUCAGAGUCUGAUGGGACCGCAGUGUUGAUUAGAAAUCCUCCUGAAAAAAAUCAAGCCGAGG